Molecule: ribosomal RNA, 114 nt
Filed under: Aeromonas sp. MrichA-1
Lineage: Bacteria; Pseudomonadati; Pseudomonadota; Gammaproteobacteria; Aeromonadales; Aeromonadaceae
Description: partial 23S ribosomal RNA
Rfam family: Bacterial large subunit ribosomal RNA
Source: RNAcentral
GGUUAAGUGACUAAGCGUACAUGGUGGAUGCCUUGGCAGUCAGAGGCGAUGAAGGACGUACUAACCUGCGAUAAGCCGUGAGCAGUCGGUAAGAGACAUUACGACUCACGGAUU